Gossypium raimondii (Peruvian cotton) is the source of this 143-nucleotide non-coding RNA. NCBI's taxonomy places the organism in Eukaryota, Viridiplantae, Streptophyta, Magnoliopsida, Malvales, Malvaceae. The record is from Rfam.
UAUUAAAAAUUUUAUCCAUUUGUACCGUUAAAAAUAACGUAAUUAAUAGAAUAAUUAGACAAUAACUGUGGCAUGCCAUAUGUAUCUUAUGUUGAAGUACAGGGGCAAGUUUUUAACCGUAAAAAUGAAUGAAAUUUUUAAUA